This 576-nucleotide long non-coding RNA is filed under the name Olea europaea (common olive). RNAcentral's name for it is "long non-coding RNA (OEUR_LNC015606)". The record is from RNAcentral. Lineage: Eukaryota; Viridiplantae; Streptophyta; Magnoliopsida; Lamiales; Oleaceae.
CAGCUACUUCAGUGCAGGUGUAAGGUUGAGAGAAGUGUAAGAAAUUCGGCAAACAAGAAAAUGCACAACCACAAUUUGUAAAUAUGAAUCAACUUUAUUCACUCGUAAUGUUAUGUGCAUACAAAAGAAUAUAAUAAACACGAGUAAUCAUAACAAAUUCAUAGCUGAAUCCACACCCGAAAACACGAAAUCAAAAGGAGAACAGAAAAUACAAGAGGAAAUGUAAUAGCUCGAUACUCAAUGCCUCAAAAGAGCGAAAAGUGAGAACAAAAGAGAUGUCCCAAUGACGGCGCCAGAGACUGGCAAAGAGAAUGCAUCUCCGGCAUCGGGAGACGGUGCCGGCGCCUGAGCAGAAACUGUGAAAGCCACAGCAGAGAGAGCGACGACGGCAUAGGCUAGCAGGAAGGACUUCGCAAUGCCAAUCUGCGCCAUUGGUUUGUUUGAAAUUUGCCUGAAAUAUCAAAAUGACAAAAUUGGGUAUUUAGGUUGAGUUGAAGGGUGGUUUUUGGAAUUGUAUUUAUAGAGGGUGUAGUGGGGGUACGGUGACAGUUGGAGACAGAUAUAUUUGUUAGAACA